This 467-nucleotide ribosomal RNA is filed under the name uncultured bacterium. RNAcentral's name for it is "partial 16S ribosomal RNA". It matches the Rfam family "Bacterial small subunit ribosomal RNA", at positions 28 to 507 of the family's 1533-position model. The record is from RNAcentral.
GACGAGCGCUGGCGGCGUGCUUAACACAUGCAAGUCGAACGGAAAGGCCUGCUUUUGUGGGGUGCUCGAGUGGCGAACGGGUGAGUAACACGUGAGUAACCUGCCCUUGACUUUGGGAUAACUUCAGGAAACUGGGGCUAAUACCGGAUAGGAGCUCCUGCUGCCUGGUGGGGGUUGGAAAGUUUCGGCGGUUGGGGAUGGACUCGCGGCUUAUCAGCUUGUUGGUGGGGUAGUGGCUUACCAAGGCUUUGACGGGUAGCCGGCCUGAGAGGGUGACCGGCCACAUUGGGACUGAGAUACGGCCCAGACUCCUACGGGAGGCAGCAGUGGGGAAUAUUGCACAAUGGGCGGAAGCCUGAUGCAGCAACGCCGCGUGCGGGAUGACGGCCUUCGGGUUGUAAACCGCUUUCGCCUGUGACGAAGCGUGAGUGACGGUAAUGGGUAAAGAAGCACCGGCUAACUACGUG